AGUCGAACGGCAGCACGGACUUCGGUCUGGUGGCGAGUGGCGAACGGGUAAAUAAUGUCGGAACGUGCCUAGUAGCGGGGGAUAACUACGCGGCGUAGCCUAAUACCGCAUACGCCCUUCGGGGAAAGCGGGGACCUUCGGGCCUCGCACUAUUGAAGCGACGAUAUCAGUUGGCUGAUUUGGUGGUGACAACGGCACCGCAAAGGCAUGAUCCGUAGCUGGUUUUGAGAGGACGACCAGCCACACUGGGACUGAGACACGGCCCAGACUCCCACACGAAGGAGGCAGCAGUGGGGAAUUUUGGACAAUGGAAACCUGAUCCAGCCAUCCCGCGUGUGCGAUGAAGAACGUGGGAUUAAAGCCACUUGGCGGGAAAAGCUUGGCACGGGAUAAUACCCCGUGCAACUGACGAAACACCUGCCGAAUAAGCACCGGCUAACCGAUGCCAGCAGCCGCGGUAAUACGUGGUGCAAGCGUUAAUCGGAAUUACUGGGCGUAAAGCGUGCGCAGGCGGUUCGGAAAAAGAAAGAUGUGAAAUCCCAGAGCUUAACUUUGGAACUGCAUUUUUAACUACCGAGCUAGAGUGUGUCAGAGGGAGGUGGAAUUCCACGUGUAGCAGUGAAAUGCGUAGAUAUGCGGAAGGUACAGAAUAACAAGCAGCCUCCUGGGAUAACACUGACGCUCAUGCACGAAAGCGUGGGAGCAAACGAAGUUAGAUACCCUGGUAGUCCACGCCCUAAACGUGUCAACUAGCUGUUGGGGCCUUCAGGCAUGGUAUGCCAACUAACGCGUGAAGUUGACCGCCUGGGAGAUGGUCGCAAAUUCAAACUCAAAGGAAUUGACGGGGACCCGCACAAGCGGUGGAUAAAUCAUGGAUUGAAUUCGAUGCAACGCGAAAAACGCAUCUACAUAAUAUGUCUGGAAUCCCGAAGAGAUUUGGGGUGCUCGCAAGAGAACCGGAACACAGGUGCUGCAUGGCUGUCGUCAGCUCGUGUCGUGAGAUGUUGGGUUAAGUCCCGCAACGAGCGCAACCUGGCAAUCAUUGGUUGCUACGAAGGCACUCCAGGCCAGUUUCGACAAACCGGAGGAAGGUGGGGAUGACGUCAAGUCCUCAUGGCCCAUAUGGGUAGGGCUUCACGCACGUCAUACAAUGGUCAGGACAGGAGGUCAACCAACCCGCGAGGGAGCCAAUCCCCGAAACCCGAUCGUAGUCCGGAUCGCAGCCUGCAACUCGACUGCGUGAAGUCGGAAUCGCUGGUAAUCGCGGAUCAGCAUGUCGCGGUGAAUACGUUCCCGGGUCUUGUACACACCGCCCGUCACACCAUGGGAGUGGGUUUUUACCAAGUAGUUAACCCUCAACGCCGUAAGGAGGGCGAUUACCACGGUAGGAUUCAUGACUGGGGGUGAAGUCGUAACAAGGUAG
Molecule: ribosomal RNA, 1423 nt
Filed under: uncultured Bordetella sp.
Lineage: Bacteria; Pseudomonadati; Pseudomonadota; Betaproteobacteria; Burkholderiales; Alcaligenaceae
Description: partial 16S-23S ribosomal RNA intergenic spacer
Rfam family: Bacterial small subunit ribosomal RNA
Source: RNAcentral